UACGUAGGGGCUAGCGUUAUCCGGAUUUACUGGGCGUAAAGGGUGCGUAGGUGGUUUCUUAAGUCAGAGGUGAAAGGCUACGGCUCAACCGUAGUAAGCCUUUGAAACUGGGAAACUUGAGUGCAGGAGAGGAGAGUGGAAUUCCUAGUGUAGCGGUGAAAUGCGUAGAUAUUAGGAGGAACACCAGUUGCGAAGGCGGCUCUCUGGACUGUAACUGACACUGAGGCACGAAAGCGUGGGGAGCAAACAGGAUUAGAUACCCCGGUAGUCCCUGAGCGGG
Molecule: ribosomal RNA, 280 nt
Filed under: uncultured prokaryote
Description: partial 16S ribosomal RNA
Rfam family: Bacterial small subunit ribosomal RNA
Source: RNAcentral